RNAcentral lists this ribosomal RNA (253 nucleotides) under uncultured bacterium. RNAcentral describes it as "partial 16S ribosomal RNA". It matches the Rfam family "Bacterial small subunit ribosomal RNA", at positions 524 to 776 of the family's 1533-position model. The record is from RNAcentral.
UACGUAGGAGGCAAGCGUUGUCCGGAGUUACUGGGCGUAAAGCGUGUGUAGGCGGUUGGCUGCGUCCGGUGUGAAAUCUCCCGGCUUACCUGGGAGGGGGCAUCGGAUACGAGCGGACUUGAGGGCAUCAGAGGCCAGUAGAACUCCCGGUGGACCAGUGAAAUGGGUAGAGAUCGGGAAGAACACCAACGGCGAAAGCACUCUGCUGGGCCGACACUGACACUGAGAGACGAAAGCUAGGGGAGCGAAUGGG